This 796-nucleotide ribosomal RNA is filed under the name Agrococcus sp. Its description in RNAcentral is "bacterial SSU rRNA". It matches the Rfam family "Bacterial small subunit ribosomal RNA", at positions 68 to 874 of the family's 1533-position model. The record is from RNAcentral. Lineage: Bacteria; Bacillati; Actinomycetota; Actinomycetes; Micrococcales; Microbacteriaceae.
GAUGAAGGAGGAGCUUGCUCCUCCGGAUUAGUGGCGAACGGGUGAGUAAUACGUGAGCAAUGUGCCCUUGACUCUGGGAUAAGCGCUGGAAACGGCGUCUAAUACCGGAUACGACGAUCGGAGGCAUCUCCUGGUCGUGGAAAGAACUUCGGUCAAGGAUCAGCUCACGGCCUAUCAGCUUGUUGGUGAGGUAACGGCUCACCAAGGCGACGACGGGUAGCCGGCCUGAGAGGGUGACCGGCCACACUGGGACUGAGACACGGCCCAGACUCCUACGGGAGGCAGCAGUGGGGAAUAUUGCACAAUGGGCGCAAGCCUGAUGCAGCAACGCCGCGUGAGGGACGAAGGCCUUCGGGUUGUAAACCUCUUUUAGCAGGGAAGAAGCGAGAGUGACGGUACCUGCAGAAAAAGCACCGGCUAACUACGUGCCAGCAGCCGCGGUAAUACGUAGGGUGCAAGCGUUGUCCGGAAUUAUUGGGCGUAAAGAGCUCGUAGGCGGUUUGUCGCGUCUGCUGUGAAAACCCGAGGCUCAACCUCGGGCUUGCAGUGGGUACGGGCAGACUAGAGUGCGGUAGGGGAGAUUGGAAUUCCUGGUGUAGCGGUGGAAUGCGCAGAUAUCAGGAGGAACACCGAUGGCGAAGGCAGAUCUCUGGGCCGUAACUGACGCUGAGGAGCGAAAGCAUGGGGAGCAAACAGGCUUAGAUACCUGGUAGUCCAUGCCGUAAACGUUGGGAACUAGAUGUGGGGACCAUUCCACGGUCUCCGUGUCGUAGCUAACGCAUUAAGUUCCCCGCCU